Molecule: ribosomal RNA, 254 nt
Filed under: uncultured bacterium
Lineage: Bacteria
Description: partial 16S ribosomal RNA
Rfam family: Bacterial small subunit ribosomal RNA
Source: RNAcentral
UACGAAGGGGGGCUAGCGUUGCUCGGAAUCACUGGGCGUAAAGGGUGCGUAGGCGGGUUUUUAAGUCAGGGGUGAAAUCCUGGAGCUCAACUCCAGAACUGCCUUUGAUACUGAAGAUCUUGAGUCCGGGAGAGGUGAGUGGAACUGCGAGUGUAGAGGUGAAAUUCGUAGAUAUUCGCAAGAACACCAGUGGCGAAGGCGGCUCACUGGCCCGGUACUGACGCUGAGGUGCGAAAGCGUGGGGAGCAAACAGG